GCCGGGGUCGCAUAACCUGGUAGUGCGCCAGCCUGCUAAGCUGGUCUCCGCAAGGACUUCUGGGUUCAAAUCCCAGCUCCGGCG
This 84-nucleotide transfer RNA is filed under the name Nanobdellota archaeon. Its description in RNAcentral is "tRNA-Ser". It matches the Rfam family "tRNA". From Rfam's summary of the family: Transfer RNA (tRNA) molecules are approximately 80 nucleotides in length. Their secondary structure includes four short double-helical elements and three loops (D, anti-codon, and T loops). Lineage: Archaea; Nanobdellati; Nanobdellota. The record is from RNAcentral.